Molecule: long non-coding RNA, 2657 nt
Organism: Lathyrus oleraceus (garden pea)
Lineage: Eukaryota; Viridiplantae; Streptophyta; Magnoliopsida; Fabales; Fabaceae
Exons: 3
Source: RefSeq, a predicted model, not a curated record
AUUCAUAUUUGAAAUCCAAAGCGCCUCUUUCCUCUCCUUUCUCCGCCGCGUCGGGAAUAGUCCUCCACGACGAAGAUCCUUAAAAGACGAAUUGAACACCAACGCCUUACUCUAAAUCCAGUCCUCAUCACGGAUCCGGGAACAAUAUCUCAUGAUUGCACGAGAAUCAGGCAAAUCAAAGAAAAAAACAUGCGUACCCUAACUAUCAAAAGACAAAAUUAAAAUUCACACGCUUGGAAUCAAAGCCCUAGGGGUUGGGGCUUUGAUUCCCUCAGCUGAAACCUACAUUUUGGCAAUAAGAUUGAGGCGAACGGCGAGGGAAAUAGGAUACUCACCAGAGAAGAAGAUGCGGCGGUGUCCGGAAUUUAGGUGAAUCUCCUCUUCAUCUUCUUCUCUCCUCGAAUAUUCUUCUUUCUCAACCUUCUUCUUCUUCUUCUUUAAUAUCUAGCCUAUAGGAAUGGUGUGGUCAUCCUUGAGGUCUGUGUGUGUGCCUUUAGAAGAUUUUUGAGAGAUGCACGAUUUAUUGCAAUGGAGAGAGAGUGAUGAAGGUUGAAGCUCAACCGAUUAGAGCUUCUGAUGCUGAAGCUCUAUCAAUUAUGGCGAUUUAGAGAAAAUGGUGAAGUUUGAGGGGUAGAGAAGAGUGAACAGUUCCAGCAGAAGAAUGGAAUCCCUCUUUUGAGUGAACCAUUAGGUUAUGAAUUUAUAGGAAUAGAUUUUCUGUUAGAAACCCCAAAUGAAAUUCAGUUGAAAUGAAAUUGUCCGUUAGAAAUGCAAUAAGUUGUUAUAAGUUUGUUAGUUAGUUAUUUUGCUGGUUUCUAUUAAAUUGGUUUUGGUUAAAUGAAAAGUUUGAUUUCUGAUUCAGCUAAAAAUGAAAUGUUAAAAUGAGAUGUCUAUUAGUAAUUUGCAAUUUAAUCUAAAUGAGAUGCAUGGCCAUAUUGUAGGUUAGUCCUUAUACUCAAUUAUGUUAAGGUUGAAUUGCAGUUCUGUUGUGUACAGUGAUUAGCAGAGUUAGAGGUGGUUAAUAGGUAAAUCCAAUUACUGAAAUCCUGUCAUAAUCUAUUAUUCAGUUAGUUCACGUGAUGGUAGUGAAUGGGAAAUGUGAAAUCCUACUGAUGCGGCUAGUUUGAUGUUGCAUUCUGCUAGUUAAUUCUUGCACUAAAAUGUAUUGCCGUAUAUUUUGUUCCUUCUACCGUGGCCUAUUUUGCAAUGCAAUGCUAUUCACAAGUGAAGGUGAAACUUUGUUAGGGAAAUACGGGUGAAAAUGUGAGAUGAUGAGACGUUGGUGAAGCUUAUUGAAAUGAAACUCAAUCUUUUCUUUUAUCUCGAUGAAGGUUAAUUGAUUUUGCAGGUUAAUGGCUAGUGGAAGCUAAAGAGUCAUGAUGGAAAAUCAAGGAUUCAAAUGCAACUCUGUUAGAAUGCUGUUAAUCUCUGUUAACUUUGUUAGGCUGCUGCAGCUUGGAUUAAUGUGAACAUGCCUGGGACUGAUACAGGUUGUUGACCGUUGGGCUUGAUAUUUGCGCAGGUUUUAGAAUGCCUUUGGUGAUGGCAAUGGGCAACUGCUAUUAUGGAUGUAGGAUGGAGUGCAUUGCUGCAGAGAUUAAGGUGCUGGACGGUCUACUAAACGCAGGUUUUGCAGGCUGAUGUCGUUGUUUGGGCCUGCGACAUAAUCCAUUGACUGCAGGGUGUUGCAGUGUUCGUAUUCUUGGUGCUAAAUGAAAUGGUUUUUCCCAAGUAGAAUUCAAAUGAACUUUAGUCAUUAGUCACCCUUUGCACAUGUAAUGAAAUUCUACUUUCAAUGAGAUGAAUGACGGAUAGUCGUGCUGAAAAAUCAUGUGUCUAGUCCGAACUGUUGGAAGGUUCUCUUCUUGCAAAUCAUUGUCUAUGCAGGACUAGUGCUAUGCUUAUGUCGAAGACCCUUGGAAAAAUAGCACAAUAAAAUCUAGCUUAAUAUCCACCAAAACGAGUCUGGCUUCUUCCAGGACUGGGAGGUAUUCUGCCAUAGGUGCAACAGAUGCUGAUGACGUUCCUAAGCUAAAAAAUAGAACACUCACUUGGAUAAUACUCGCAUUCUAUAUGGAAAAGCUGCUUUAUUGUUGAUGGAAAAGUAUGAACACGAUAGUGAGCUUGCAUCUAAUUCCUCAUCACUCUUAGCCAAAGGCUUGGUUUUGAAGAGGUCUGUGUGAAAAUCUAAUUGUGAAGCUCGAACUAUGGCAGGUGGAGGUUGAUCUGGACAAGUUUGUUGCAUUACCUUUGCAUUGCAGGUCAAUUUGGUUUCAUGGCAUUGUGACACAUAUUGGAGCAUGUUUUCAAGGCAAAUCCAAGGCAUUUCGAAGUGUUAAGGCAUGGCAAAGUUUAUGGCAUAAAUUGGAUGCGAAAACAAUGUUUCUUGCCCAUGAAGCAAAUGGAAAAGAAAUCUUAUGCAAGAGUAAAAAUGCAAUGAGUACCAUGGAUUUAGGUCAUGGAAAGUAGAGGAGUUGGCUUUGGUCAACCGGCUGACAAAAAAUCAAUAGUUGACCAAAUUCAACUGUAGGUCAAAAAAUUCCGUUUUUCUGUGUAAUUUUUUAUGUAUUCUUGUAGUAUAAUUUUUAUGUGAAUGAAAUGCAUUUUCCUUUUGUUAAAAAUGUUAUGAUGAAACAUGAAGAAGACUUGAAUUGAAA